RNAcentral lists this ribosomal RNA (253 nucleotides) under uncultured bacterium. RNAcentral's name for it is "partial 16S ribosomal RNA". It matches the Rfam family "Bacterial small subunit ribosomal RNA", at positions 524 to 776 of the family's 1533-position model. The record is from RNAcentral.
UACAGAGGUCCCAAGCGUUGUUCGGAUUCACUGGGCGUAAAGGGUGCGUAGGUGGCGGGGUAAGUCGGAUGUGAAAGCUCGGAGCUCAACUCCGAAAUGGCAUUGGAAACUACCUUGCUCGAGGGUUGGAGGGGGGACUGGAAUGCUUGGUGUAGCAGUGAAAUGCGUAGAUAUCAAGCGGAACACCAGUGGCGAAGGCGAGUCCCUGGACAACUCCUGACACUGAGGCACGAAAGCAUGGGGAGCGAACGGG